This 381-nucleotide ribosomal RNA is filed under the name uncultured Hassallia sp. Its description in RNAcentral is "bacterial SSU rRNA". It matches the Rfam family "Bacterial small subunit ribosomal RNA", at positions 375 to 770 of the family's 1533-position model. The record is from RNAcentral. Lineage: Bacteria; Bacillati; Cyanobacteriota; Cyanophyceae; Nostocales; Tolypothrichaceae.
GCGAAAGCCUGACGGAGCAAUACCGCGUGAGGGAGGAAGGCUCUUGGGUUGUAAACCUCUUUUCUCAGGGAAGAACACAAUGACGGUACCUGAGGAAUCAGCAUCGGCUAACUCCGUGCCAGCAGCCGCGGUAAUACGGAGGAUGCACGCGUUAUCCGGAAUGAUUGGGCGUAAUGCGUCCGCCGGUGGCGAUGUAAGUCUGCUGUUAAAGAGUGGGGCUCAACCUCAUAAGGGCAGUGGAAACUACAUAGCUAGAGUGCGUUCGGGGCAGAGGGAAUUCCUGGUGUAGCGGUGAAAUGCGUAGAUAUCGGGAAGAACACCAGGGGCGAAAGCGCUCUGCUGGGCCAUAACUGACGCUCAUGGACGAAAGCUAGGGGAGCG